Molecule: ribosomal RNA, 858 nt
Filed under: Paraglaciecola chathamensis
Lineage: Bacteria; Pseudomonadati; Pseudomonadota; Gammaproteobacteria; Alteromonadales; Alteromonadaceae
Description: bacterial SSU rRNA
Rfam family: Bacterial small subunit ribosomal RNA
Source: RNAcentral
UCAUGGCUCAGAUUGAACGCUGGCGGCAGGCCUAACACAUGCAAGUCGAACGGUAACAUUUCUAGCUUGCUAGAAGAUGACGAGUGGCGGACGGGUGAGUAAUACUUAGGAAUAUGCCUUUGUGUGGGGGAUAACCAUUGGAAACGAUGGCUAAUACCGCAUAACGUCUUCGGACCAAAGGGGGCUUCGGCUCCCGCGCAAAGAGUAGCCUAAGCGAGAUUAGCUUGUUGGUGAGGUAAAGGCUCACCAAGGCGACGAUCUCUAGCUGUUCUGAGAGGAAGAUCAGCCACACUGGAACUGAGACACGGUCCAGACUCCUACGGGAGGCAGCAGUGGGGAAUAUUGCACAAUGGGGGAAACCCUGAUGCAGCCAUGCCGCGUGUGUGAAGAAGGCCUUCGGGUUGUAAAGCACUUUCAGUUGUGAGGAAAGGUUGAUGGUUAAUACCCAUUAGCUGUGACGUUAGCAACAGAAGAAGGACCGGCUAACUCCGUGCCAGCAGCCGCGGUAAUACGGAGGGUCCGAGCGUUAAUCGGAAUUACUGGGCGUAAAGCGCACGCAGGCGGUUUGUUAAGCUAGAUGUGAAAGCCCUGGGCUCAACCUGGGAAUUGCAUUUAGAACUGGCAGGCUAGAGUUUUGGAGAGGGGAGUGGAAUUCCAGGUGUAGCGGUGAAAUGCGUAGAUAUCUGGAGGAACAUCAGUGGCGAAGGCGACUCCCUGGUCAGUAACUGACGCUCAUGUGCGAAAGUGUGGGUAGCGAACAGGAUUAGAUACCCUGGUAGUCCACACCGUAAACGCUGUCUACUAGCUGUUUGUGGAUUUAAUCCGUGAGUAGCGAAGCUAACGCGAUAAGUAGACCGC